This 404-nucleotide ribosomal RNA is filed under the name uncultured bacterium. RNAcentral describes it as "bacterial SSU rRNA". It matches the Rfam family "Bacterial small subunit ribosomal RNA", at positions 355 to 776 of the family's 1533-position model. The record is from RNAcentral.
UAGGGAAUUUUCCGCAAUGGGGGAAACCCUGACGGAGCAACGCCGCGUGAGGGAAGAAGGUCUUCGGAUCGUAAACCUUUGUCAUCGAGGACGAUCAUGACGGUACUCGAGGAGGAAGCCCCGGCUAACUACGUGCCAGCAGCCGCGGUAACACGUAGGGGGCGAGCGUUGUCCGGAAUUACUGGGCGUAAAGGGCGCGUAGGCGGCCUAAUAAGUCAGAUGUGAAACCCCCGGGCUUAACCCUGGGCUUGCAUUUGAAACUGUUGGGCUUGAGGACAGGAGAGGAAAGCGGAAUUCCCAGUGUAGCGGUGAAAUGCGUAGAUAUUGGGAGGAACACCAGUGGCGAAGGCGGCUUUCUGGACUGUAACUGACGCUGAGGCGCGAAAGCCAGGGUAGCGAACGGG